This 228-nucleotide long non-coding RNA is filed under the name Elaeis guineensis (African oil palm). Its description in RNAcentral is "long non-coding RNA (EGUI_LNC050215)". The record is from RNAcentral. Lineage: Eukaryota; Viridiplantae; Streptophyta; Magnoliopsida; Arecales; Arecaceae.
GUUACAUAUAGAAUUUUCUUUUCAAAGACCUAGAUCAAAUAUUUUGGAUAUAAAAGGUCUAUAGAGAUAGAUCCUAAAGGAUAUUUUUUUUCACAGAUGAGUAUACAGAAGAGGUGCUGAAAAGAUUCAGUAUUGAAACCUCCAAGAGAGAUCCGUUAUCUUCUUAGGCAUAGGUAUAUACCAAGCUAUGUACUCAACUUGGUAUAUCUUACUGUGAAAGUCACGAGC